RNAcentral lists this unclassified non-coding RNA (231 nucleotides) under Hevea brasiliensis (rubber tree). The record is from RNAcentral. Lineage: Eukaryota; Viridiplantae; Streptophyta; Magnoliopsida; Malpighiales; Euphorbiaceae.
GAAGAGACUGUGAUUUAAAAGAGCAAAUCGGAAUAUGCAUCGAGGCCAUGCUUGUUAAGAUUCUGCUUUAGCUUGUAUAGUGCUCGGGUCUCUAGUUGUCGUACUCGUUCCUUUGACAGUCCAAAAACAGCGCCUAUUUCGGAUAGAGACUUUGGUUUGCCAUCUCCAAUGCCAAAUCUAAGUCGGAUUAUUUUCCUUUCCUUUGGACUCAGGACAUUUAGGAGGCCGCGU